This 810-nucleotide ribosomal RNA is filed under the name Trichophyton verrucosum. Its description in RNAcentral is "eukaryotic LSU rRNA". It matches the Rfam family "Eukaryotic large subunit ribosomal RNA", at positions 85 to 912 of the family's 3401-position model. Lineage: Eukaryota; Fungi; Ascomycota; Eurotiomycetes; Onygenales; Arthrodermataceae. The record is from RNAcentral.
AACGGCGAGUGAAGCGGCAGGAGCUCAAAUUUGAAAUCUGACCUCCUCCGGGGGUCCGAGUUGUAAUUUGCAGAGGAUGCUUCGGGUGCGGCCCCCGUCUAAGUUCCUUGGAACAGGACGUCAGAGAGGGUGAGAAUCCCGUCUUGGGCGGGCGGCCCGCGCCCGUGUGAAGAUCCUUCGACGAGUCGAGUUGUUUGGGAAUGCAGCUCUAAGCGGGUGGUAAAUUUCAUCUAAAGCUAAAUACUGGCCGGAGACCGAUAGCGCACAAGUAGAGUGAUCGAAAGGUUAAAAGCACCUUGAAAAGGGAGUUAAACAGCACGUGAAAUUGUUGAAAGGGAAGCGCUUGCGGCCAGACUCGGGGGCGGGGUUCAGCGGGCGCUCGUCGCCCGUGCACUCCCCGCGCCCCGGGCCAGCAUCAGUUUCGACGGCCGGUCAAAGGCCCCCGGAAUGUGUCGUCUCUAGGGACGUCUUAUAGCCGGGGGUGCAAUGCGGCCCGUCGGGACUGAGGAACGCGCUCCGGCUCGGAUGCUGGCGUAAUGGCCGUAAGCGGCCCGUCUUGAAACACGGACCAAGGAGUCUAACAUCCACGCGAGUGUUCGGGUGUCAAACCCGUGCGCGCAGUGAAAGCGAACGGAGGUGGGAGCCUUUGGGCGCACCAUCGACCGAUCCUGAAGUCUUCGGAUGGAUUUGAGUAGGAGCGUGGCCGUUGGGACCCGAAAGAUGGUGAACUAUGCCUGAGUAGGGUGAAGCCAGAGGAAACUCUGGUGGAGGCUCGCAGCGGUUCUGACGUGCAAAUCGAUCGUCAAAUUU